UCCCGGGUAGGCAUAAUCGUGAACGAAAUCUGAUAACUGACACGGAUGAGAGACUUACUGGAUGACAGAUUACCAGAGAAUGAAUAGAGAUGAGCUGAAGAAUUUUCAGGUGACCCAUAUCAUUAAGUGACCAAAUAAGUAAAUGAGGGUGAUAACAAAAUGGAAAUAAUGAUGGUAGGGCAUGAAAAGAGUUGAAUAUGGAGUCAUGAAUGGACUGGGUAGUAGUGUGGUAUAAUGAGAACAACAGAUGACAAACACUAGAGAGUAAAUAUUAAAUAAGAUUAAACUGUAGACUAAUCCACAUCUUUCUGUACGCUGUUUCCUUUUGUGUGGUGUGUGUGUGUGGUCUGUGUUGGUCGUGAUGAUGUGAAUCAGCUGACUAAUGAUCAGUCAGCAGAGUGGACCGGAUAACAGAGGGUCCAAAGGGGAGUAAAUUUCCUGGAUGUGUGCUGUAUAUGAGGCCAGAGGUGUGGCCAAGAAAGGAAGGCUCGGAAGGGCUGUGUCUGGUAUGCUAAGUGCAAGCUGUAUGUGUGUGCAUGGCCCUUGUGGUCGGUGUGCGUGCAUUACAUUCUGGUGUUACCAAUACAGAUAGAGAGCUGGGCCGGUGGAGCUGAGAGUUGAAUCUAGUGGAAAUGAAGUUAAAGGAUAAUAGAGAGGAGUGUAAUGAUGAAAAAGAAAAGCGGAGAUAUAAUUAGGUGAAUUAAGCAGUUGUGUUGAGUGAUCUCGUUGAUUUGUAUAUACUGUUUAAUGUUUUCAAUUUGCUAGAAAAAGCGUUGCAUAUAUAUAUAUAAACUCCAGAAUGGAUGAGAACGGAUAGUGCAGGUAAGCAGUAUAGUUCUGCAAAUAGGUGAAAAUGUAAGCAAGCUAAAUGUGGGUCAUUUUGUUUAAUUUGCAUAAUCUGUUAUGGAGCUUGAAAUGACUUGAAAGUGGCUGGAAGAAACAUGCAGGAUGGAAAUAAGAGGAAAUUACAGGUAAGUGAUUUGAGUUGAGGAAAACACCCACUGGGUGAAUGAGUUUCUGCACUGUAAUGCAAAUUCUGGUUGCUUGAGGUGCUGACUUGAGCUUACUGAGUGUCUUAUGCUCGUCCUAUUAAUCUAAUGUUAUUUUUCCAGAUCAAAUCAAACAGGAAGAUGAUCCCGAUCCAGUUAACGUUGUCUCGGAAGCUUAGAGAAAAAGAAAACUAAAGUUGUGUAGGAGUGGGAUGUGAUAGAGGUUCAUACAGUAUAUGGGAAUACAAAUACAAUGCAGCUGAAAUUAAAAAAAAAAAUAGAGAGAGGCAGUAGGUAAGCUAGUAAAAGGUUAUACCUUCAGUUGGUGGGAUUGGAUAAGAUAUGAUUGUAUGAUUAUGUUAUCAUAUAUAUUUUCCUGAUAUGAAUGAAUAUAAGCAUCUGUAUAUUGGUAUUGGGGUUGGGUCUUUACAAUUGGUAUCAGAGCAAACGUUCUUAGGAUCAUCCCUGGUACAUGAGACUUAAGAACGGUAAGAUCAAUUUAAUCUUUGAACCUGAAACUUAAAUGGUUGCGUUUAAAUUCCCGCAUUGUGAUAUUGUGAUUAAAUUGUAGAUCCAUGAAAUAUGAUGUAUGCAAAUUGAUGCUGUUGGUCCGAAUGUCUUAAUUUUUGAAGUUUUGUAGACCAAAUGAUGAGUGAAAGGGAUAAGAAAAACGAGUGGUGUAAAACCCUUGAGAGAUGUAAGAUUUUAGGUGAUCUGAAGUGGUACAUCGAUUUGAUAUAACAAGAUACCGGUUCAGUGUUGAUCUGAAGCGUAGUGGUUACCUAAAGGAGUCAACUAGAUCCGUCAAACCAAGUAGAAAAAAAGGGGGAAACUAGGUGGAUUUAGGAUGUGAAUGCAGAGGGAUUUUUAGGAGAUAACAAUUGAAUGGUGGAAUAAUAUAAUGCAAGAAUGUGAGACUUCAAGAAUGGUGGAUGUUUGGAAUGGGAGUGAGGUUAUAAAAAUCAAAUUGGAGGCUAGAUGAAGAUACUUUAGAGGAAUUGGUGAGAUGAGGUAGAGAUUGUGUUGAGGUUAUAGAGAGAAGGGGUAUAGUACUCAGGAUCAGUAGAAAGGCUGCAGAUACAGCAGGGUGUGAGUGGGGAGUGAGCCGGUGAGAGGAGGGCAGAAGCCUGAGAGCACAGGUAAGCUGGUAUGGGUGUAGAGAAAACGGAAAAAAAAAAAAAAAAAAAAGAGAAAAUGAGAACGGAGAAAGGAAAGGGUGAUUGGAGCAGGGGAAGGAGUUUAUUAAAUUUUGAGGAGAAUUCCUUACAACCUGAGUGGAGAUAAUUUAGAAGAUGAAAAAAAUAAAUAAAAAAAUAAAAUGCCAAGGAGGACAGUCUUGAGCGGGAGACAGACCUUCCGCUUGAAACUGCAGUCGGUAAAUAAGAAAAAAAAAAAGAAAAAAAAAAGGAAAUAAUAGGAAUGAGAGGAUGAAUAGCACCGUCAGAAAGUAUGGAACAAGAAAAAGAGAGAAGAGAAAAAGCUGGGACAUGUCGAGCGGCCAAGGGUGAUCGAGGGACAGGUGUUGGAAUUUAUUGGCAAUGGGACUGUAAUGGCUGAACAGAAAUAUGUAUCUAGCAUGUAGUGAUUUUAUUUUGUGCACAAGCAAGUGUAAGUGGGGGCCCACCGAGUGAGAAUGUGUGUGUAUAUGUUUAUACAUAUACAUACCUAUAAAUUAUACUUAAUAUAAUAAUGGCUUGAAUGUAUGACUGGGCAUGUGAUAAAUUGCUGUCUGCAUCAUAGGCAUGAUGGUGUGGCAGGGUCGGCCGAGAGGCAGUUGCUGCAAUGAGUACAUAUUUAUAAAUAUAUGACUUGUAUAUAUAACAAAAUGGCUGAAUAAAUGUAUAACUUGGCAUGUGAUAGUUUCCUGCUUGCAUAAUAGGCGUGAAUGGUGGCCGGGUUGGCCGAGAGGCACUUUUUGCCGUGCAUAUAUAUAUAUAUAUAUUUAUUUAUUUGUAGGGAGAUGUUUUAUAAUGGCUGAGUAAACAGACAUGCUAAAUUUGCUGUGUGGUAAGUGUGUGCGGUGUAUGGUUGAUUGUGAAGUAGUGGAAUGAAUUCUGUGAAGAUAAUGAUCUCCUUAUGAUGAUUAGGUUCUGUAAAAAGCCUUGCUGUAUAGUGCCUGUGUUUUGUGCGUGACGUUGGUUACUUUAGGAUGGAGGCGUAACAUUCAGCAGAGUCAAGAAAGGUGAGGAAUUAGGAAAGGUUUAGGCUGGAAAGAAUGCAGACUCGUUAUGCACUCAGUUAGGCUUCAGUUGAGACUUAAACUCAAUAAGAUUCCAGAGGGGAGAUAAAUUGAAAUGGUGACGGGGGAAUGCUGGACAGAUUUUGGGAGAUUCAACUGAACUGAAAAUUUAAUUAGACAGUCAAGCAAGAACAAAUCCAGGAGCUUCCGGAGCCUGGUCAUGCCCUGGAAUGUGUGCAGAACUAGCUUUAAUGACAACUUCAGAUUGGAUGCAAUUAUUGUAAGUUAGCCAGGCUAGAUAAUGAGAAGAACGAUGUUGUUGAGGUUACAAUUGUUAGAAAAACGUUAUGUUACGUAUAUGAGAUAGGAGGGACAUUGUCCGUUCAUAUGAUCUUGUAUACCGAUGAUUUGAAACUAAUGGAAAUACGUUUGACAACACA
Carica papaya (papaya) is the source of this 3608-nucleotide non-coding RNA. The record is from RefSeq and is a predicted model, not a curated record. Lineage: Eukaryota; Viridiplantae; Streptophyta; Magnoliopsida; Brassicales; Caricaceae.